RNAcentral lists this ribosomal RNA (150 nucleotides) under Vigna umbellata (rice bean). Its description in RNAcentral is "partial 5.8S ribosomal RNA". It matches the Rfam family "5.8S ribosomal RNA". Rfam says of the family: 5.8S ribosomal RNA (5.8S rRNA) is a component of the large subunit of the eukaryotic ribosome. It is transcribed by RNA polymerase I as part of the 45S precursor that also contains 18S and 28S rRNA. Functionally, it is thought that 5.8S rRNA may be involved in ribosome translocation. The record is from RNAcentral. Lineage: Eukaryota; Viridiplantae; Streptophyta; Magnoliopsida; Fabales; Fabaceae.
GACUCUCGGGCAACGGAUAUCUCGGCUCUUGCAUCGAUGAAGACUUAGCGAAAUGCGUACUUGGUGUUAAUUGCAGAAUCCCGGUAACCAUCGCGUCUUUGAACGAAGUUGGCGCCCGAAGCACAGGCGAGGGCACGCCGCCUGGGUGUC